This 1656-nucleotide long non-coding RNA is filed under the name Malus domestica (apple). RNAcentral describes it as "long non-coding RNA (MDOM_LNC017481)". The record is from RNAcentral. Lineage: Eukaryota; Viridiplantae; Streptophyta; Magnoliopsida; Rosales; Rosaceae.
AUAAUUAUAUAUAUAUAUAUAUAUUAAAUUAUGUGUUUUAAUUUUUUGAAGUAAAAUUUAUGUGGCAAAGUGUGGUAUGUGCAAAUUUAAGAAAAAUAUAUAUUUUUCUUAACGGGCCAUAACGGGUCGGGUCACUUUACCUUUCCUAUUAAGGUAACAUGUUUAACACGACACAACCCGUUAAGAUAACAGGUGUUACACGAACACAACAGACACGACCCGUUUGCCAGGCCUUGUUUCAUAUGAAGGACUAAGUCUAGAGGUUAAUCUGUCCUGAUCAUGUGCUAAAACUAAUUAAUGGAGUUUCUUAGUUGGUUUCUUUGUGAGACCUCAAAGAACUGGAAUCUGCUUUUUGCGGCAAAGACUCGUUCAAAUGUGAAAACCCAUGUUCUCACUUCUCAUUUUCUAGUAUUCUGAAAUUCAUGUGUGUAUUGAAUGUAGGAAGCAGGAUUCGAAUGCAGGACGUUAAGUGAAGCGGUCUCGAGCACAGGAUCUCGAGUGUAGAGGUUUCGAGCAUUAUAAGAUCUCGAGUGUAGGGGUGAAUAGACAUAACCCUUUGAGCUAUAAGAACUCCUUGUAGGCAUGGUCAAUUCUGAGAGUUAUAAUUAAUUAUGGACAUAUGCAGUCUGACUUUAGUGUUAACAUUUGUGUUUUGGAAAUCCAAAUCACUUCGUAUCAUGGUUGGUUCUGUUGGUUCUAAAUGUUUGCUUUUGGGCUGUAAACACAACAAUUAGAUGACAGAUUGGCAAGGUUUAAUAAAACUUUGGAAGACAAACACUAAAACAAAUCCCUGUAGUCAUUAAGUGACAAUGUUUCAUUUGUUCAUAAAUUCGACCACUAAAAUUGUUUGUGGCGUGACACAUUAAUUUGGUGACUAACAUUUAAAAAUUCAGAUACAUAGUGGGAAGUACAUCCGUUCUAACUCACGCGGCUACACCCAUUUCUAUUUGAAACCAUGAGCUACUUUUUUACCCUAUCAUGUAACAUGAGAUGGUAGACUUGUGUUGGUUACAACAAACAUGAUGAGCAAAUGUAAACUUCAAAUCUGUCACUCGGCACGACCAAAAAGGAGAUAGAAAAUGGGAGAAAAGGAAGAAAAGAUUCAUCAUUUCAUUGGUUUAUUGCUUUCCUUAAAGUUGUUUGGGACUGCACUGCAGGCAGGACCUGCUGUAGCAACUUAAAUAGACUAACAAAGUUACAGUUAUCUGGGGAAGAGGUCAACACAUUUUUGUUUGUUUAGACAGUCAAUGUUCUUGCUUCAAGCUUAUAACUAACAAAGUGAAGUAACUAUUUACUUUGACCUUCCAUGUAAUUUCUUUUCAAGCAUGUGUCUUGUCUUUUUAAGAAAAAGUAAGGAUAAUAUAUGUCGAUCGAUAAUUAUUUCAGUUUUCAUCUUAAAUUUUUGCUUUUUUAGUUAUUUAUGAAGGAACUCCGCCUGUGUAAGUUUAUCUUACAUUGUCGGUCCCAAGCCCAGAUAAAGGAUGAGGGGGAGGGCGUCAGGUAGUCGACAGCCGACACUCCUCGAUUACGUCGAAUCCUUAUGAAAAUGAAUCCAGAACGAAAUCGCUAAAGUUAGGGCGUCACCCGUAAGUGGCGCGCUGUGUGGCCCAAGCACAGUGAUAAGUGAGCAAGGGUCGCUGUAUCUCCAUCGGCACC